GUCCUCCAGAUUUCUAAUCCAUCAGAUCUAAAGAUUAUUCUGAGUGGCUAUAAAAAGGAGGAAAAGUAAUAUUGAACCAGACGUGUAGUCAUUAGCACAUAUAAGUACAUUUCAAACAAUC
RNAcentral lists this small nucleolar RNA (121 nucleotides) under Echinops telfairi (small Madagascar hedgehog). RNAcentral describes it as "Small nucleolar RNA SNORA61 (ENSETEG00000025571.1)". The record is from RNAcentral. Lineage: Eukaryota; Metazoa; Chordata; Mammalia; Afrosoricida; Tenrecidae.